UCUCAGACUCUCGAGCGCCGGCCCCAGGAUGACAAUCGCAUCCCGGGAGCGCCGAGCCCUUCCAACUUUCCUCCCCUGCUAACUCGGGGCGGAGCGGCGGUCCUGACGCGCGGCCGCGGCUCCCCGAGAACGGCCCGGGCCGCCCCGGAGCACAAAGGCGCCGCCGAGGCCGCUCGGCGCCCUCCUCGCCUCCGCCAGUCGCCGACUUCGCGGACUGCCGGUUCCCGGGGAGGACGGGUUCCCGGGAGCUUCGUCGCCCGCCCCUCCCCGGCUUCUCCCCAAACUGCGGGGCUCGAGGGCGAGCCGGAGACCCGGCAGGCAGGACCCUGGGAGAGACGGAUGGAUGCCCGCGCCCGGGGCGCAGGGAAUCCGCAACGCUUUGCCCUCUGCUCAGCAGCAGCAGCAGGUGGGCGAGAGCCAGGCCUCGGACGUGGGCACGUCCUCGGCGCGGUCUCCCGGCCCCCGACCCCCACCGGCCGGCCAAGGAGGAGACGCUGGAGGCCCGGGACGGCGGGGUCGCCCGUCUCCGGCGCAGCGGUGGUGGGAACAGGGGCGCUACAGCCGAGAGAUCUCCGGCCGCCCGCGCCCCGCAGCCUUUCUUUCUUUCUCUCGGGGCCUGCCUUCGGCGGCUCGCCCCGCCAGGUCCGUGGUGGUGCAGGGUGCGGGCCCCCCGCCCCUUUUGUUCCACGAAGUCGCCUUCCCCUUCGCACGCACCCGCGCACCCGCCCAAGCGCCACGGCAAACACUCGGCCGAGCAGUGCCCAACCCAGCCACUGUUUGCUCAGCGAGGCGCUGGCGAGGCGGAGGCACACACAGCCGAGGCGCAGGCACGGCCCCUGCCCACCACAGAGCCUGGCCCACAAGUCGCCGACGCGCCGGGGUGGGCAGGGGCGCAGGGGACCCGGCCCCGCGUCGGGCACGCCGCCAGAGCUUCUGGGACCAAGCACUUCGUGGCCUUUUACAGCUGGGGCCGCUCGUAACCCAAGCCAAACUGUACCCGAAGUUCCUCGCAAUGACUUCGACGUGCGAGAUUCACUUUAUUCGCGGAGCUCCAGCCCCCACGCACCCACCCAGCCCACUGCCACCCGCUCGGGGCCGCGCCUCCACGCACGCGCGCUGGCCCCUCCCCUCCGCCCGCUCCCGGCUCCCAGGCUCCGCCCCUCACCUCCCCCCGCCCCCCAGCGGACCGAGCCUGGCCGCCUGCAUUCCCCAAGAACCUCUCGGGCCGCCCAGCCCCUUUCCUUACACUGCCUCCACCUGUGAUUGGACGCUGGCUCCCCUUGGCUCCGCCCCCCCAGCGGCCGGGCCCGCUUCCCUCCCUGUCCCAGCGCCCAAGGGGCGGGGCUGGGCGGGGCUUCGGUGGCGCUAUUGUCAUGGAGACGGGAAGCCGGCCGCACCGGCGGCGGGGACCUCGCGGGCCGAGGGGGGCUGCCAGCGGGCCGGGACUGAGGAGAGGCGGAGCGGCCCGGACCGCGGGAACGUGCGGGAACGCGGAGCCGGCUGGUGGCGGCCUCCACGGCGGCACCGUCGCGGGCCCAGUGUAGGCCCCCGCCCUGCUCCUCGCGGCCCCACCGCCCCUCAGUGCCCGCCCUCGGCUCCGCCCGCGGCCGCCGCCAGCGCCGCCGCAGCCCCUCGCGCUAACGGUCGGCAACGGCCCGCGUGCGCCGCCCGCCGGGGGCUCGCGCCUGCCACGAGGGAGCGUCCGCGGCCCGCGCGUCCGCGUCCGCGUCGCGGAGCAGAGAUCUCAUCAUUCUUGUGGGAGAGACACAACACCCACCCCGGGAAAGGCAACAGAUUGCUCCUGUCAUAUCGCCGGGGCUGUGUUGGAGUGUACUUAAAGGAUUAUGAUUGAUAAGGCUGUCUUGCCAGAGAAUGUUGACACAGGUGAUAAAUAUGAUGCGUCCAUAAUACACAUGGAGGUGCUCAGCUAAGUUCACUUCUGAACUGUGGGGUUGCUCCAGAUGUUGGUGAAAUCUGUCCUUACACAUCCCAAGUCCCAUCUGCAAAGCCUGCAGUCGCUAGCAAAGCCGCUGGGCCGGCUGUUGGAGCAGAAGGUUCUGGAGACAGCAGUGCUCAUGGUAGUGAUGAAUCGGUCUGAUGUUCUUGAAGAACAAGCUGGGUUCCAUUUGUGUCUGUCAGGGAGAAUUCUGUCUUCUCAUGGUGUAAUGGCACGUUGAAUAUGCAGAUUCAGCUGUCCAUCUCUGAGGUUUCCUGUGAUCUGUUUCAAUCUAACUGCAAAGGACGUGGAAGGAUCAAGUACCCAUGUGGUUUAAACAUGUUUUGAAGGCAGAAAGAAACAGAGAUACAGAGAGAGAACUUCAGCCUGCUGGUUCACUCCCCAAAUACAUCAGCAAGCACAAGGCCAGGUGAAGCCCAGGAGCCUCUUUAUUCCAGCUUCUUCCGUACUCAGUGCCUAAAACAGCAGAGUGGGAGAAGAUGUUCUGCUGCUGGGGAGCCAGUCCCGGGAAGCUGAGCCAGCUUGGUAGUAAGUGAGCAAGUAUAAAGUGAAUAAUUUGCCUGCUGAUCAGUUGGUGCAACUUGAAAUAGCCUUCCCCAGUGGAGUGCAAGGUGUGUAGCCCAUCCCAAGCACACUUUAAAUGUUCAUCAAAUCUUCAACCCUGACCUAUAUGAAACAGCGCGGAAGUUUCUUGCUAGUAAACUCUGCCGUAAUGUUACUUUGUAAUGUCAGCGUGGCCCUACAUGUGUUUUGAUGGGCCGAGGGUGUCUGGAGCCUGGAGAGGAGAGGUUGGCUGGUCCCAAACUGGCAGAAGUCCUGAGGCUUACAAGAUGUGCGUGUCCAUGCUGUCCAAGCUCCACGAUUCAGAGACCAUCGGGGGACAUGCAGACUUUGAUACCUAACCGAACAGCACAUCAGCUAAGCCGGUAGGCACUGAGGCAGACAUACAUGCCUGUUUCUGUGGUGAUAUCAUCUAUUAGAAUGGCCAUGUACAUUUAUCAACGUAAAACAGUGGUGUCACUAAAACCCUGCCAUAGCCAGUAUCAGGUGAAGAAAGUCUGCUAACAAUAUGUAUAGCCCUUUGUCAUCGCUCUCUGUCCCCAGGGGGCUCAUCCUCCACUUUUUCCCCAAGGCCACAAAUCAGGAUAGCCUUUGUUGGCCUGGCUGAUUGUGGUCACCUAGUAGAAAAGCUGUGACUCUGACGUGCUGGUGCUGCUCUGAGUGUCUUCCCAGUAGCCAAUCUUGUGUUCUGAAAGGCAACCUGAACAGGACAACGUCCACCCAGCAGCCCGUGCUCAGGGGCAGGGGCAGAGCGCGCGUUACAGCAUUCGGCAGGUUGCUUUCCUUAAAAUUCCCAAUUCUUCUCUUUGACUUUGUUAUAUUUUGUCUCUAAUUACCCCCAAGAAAAGUUGAUGUGAUUCUUGAAAUCUCUCAUUUCUCAUUUGUCUGACAGCCAAACAACUUGUAAAUUGUGUUUCAGUUCAACCCGCUAUGUCUUUAUGAUGCACAGUUGAAAACUGGAGGUGUGGAAUACUGCUGGCUCCCACAGUUGUGUGCCUCAGGUUUGUUCCCCUUCACUCAGUUCUCAUGAGUGCAGUGUAUGUAAGUUAGCACUUUUAUGUCUCUUUUCUCAGCCCUUAUCUUUGGACAUUGAGUUUUUCAUUUUGAAAGUCCAUUUUGAAUAAAUUUAUUUUCAAUUUUGAAGAGCAUGAGUUUAUCUUAGUUCAAUCGAAUGUUAUGUACUUUUUUGCUGAAUUGUUUACUAUGGGUUUGGUUAUUGGCCUAUUUUAUUUGUCAUUUUAUGGAAUACAUAUUUUCAGUGGAGACGCUUAGGCUAAGCUAUAUUUAUUUAUACCACAGUACAUUAACCAUAAAACUAUCUAACUACAGUAAAACCACAAUAAUCUGGAACCCUUAGGGAGUGGGUUAUUGAGGAUAGCCAAGUUUUAAGAAGUAACAUUAACUCUUUGUGAUGGCAGUUUUUCCAACAUGUGUCGUAUCUUUCCUUUUUAUCCCGCAUACAAUAUGCUGAGUCUCAUUCAGUUGUGAUAGGAAGAAGUACUCAUCAGUACGUUUAACUCAGUUCUCGUCGAAGGACUCAGGCUUUUUGUUUUGCUUUGCCUUGUUUUAGUUUAGGUUUGGCUUUCGUGUGCUUUGUGUUCAGUUCUAGUUCACGGUGGCAUUUCCUAACAUUUCUGUUUCUUCCGUUGUUGUCAGCUGUAUUUCUCACUGGCCCUACCUGUAGGGCUCCCUCUACCCUUCAAAUUGCUGCCUUUACGUGUCUGUGGACUUGGAGACCAGGUACAGGAGUUUGUUAGAAGACAGCCAGCGUGAGAAAGGGCUUCCAGAGCCUUCUGGGGGCCAGAUGUGCGGCUGUGCACCAACUUGCCAGCCGUUCUUGUCUCUGAGAAACCUUCCUCACCAGCAUGUCAGUUCUCUGUGGGCGUUAGCCAGCUGGGUGCUGAGAUGGGGAGAUCUGCUCUGCCUCUUCCCCUCUUCCCCUUAACAUUCCUCUCCACUGCUUGGCACUUCAGAGGGCUAAUUGUAGCCAUGCUGGGGUAGCCGAGGGCCUUGAAGGUGAGGCCUAAGGGAGCUAGUUGCACACACCUUAGAAUAGAGAAUCAGGUAGAAAGCAGGCCUCAUUUUAAGUUAACUGUUACAGAAUGCCCAUAUUAUGAUAACAUCUUGCUAAUGCCCCUUCUCUUCUUUAUCCUACUAAUUCUUUUUCCUUUUUAAAUUAAUAAGCCCUAAACACAUGUUCAUUUGGCUUGUAAUUUACUAGAAUUAAAACUAACGCUUAAUUUGAAAAGGGCAUCUCUAGUCAAAACCCAGCACCCUCAGUGAUUCAUUUUUUUGUUGUGCAUGUAAUUAGGGCUGCAUUGCAUACUUUCUUUACCCAAGGUGCUUUGCACACUACUGAUGACAGGUGCUUGGGUAAAGGUGCUGGCAGCGGACCGUUGGGCUGCAAGCUCUGGGAGGCUGAUGUUUGCAAGCUGCUUCAGCUUCUCCAGCGUUUCCAUGGUCGUUUUGCCUUGGAUCUCCAGAGCAACCUGGGCAUUACGGGGCCCCUCAUGUCACAGCCAGGACCCCAGAGGUGCAGAGUUGUGGAGUGACUCACCCAAGUCCCACUGCUGUCAGCAAGCUCGAGUUUGGGCCCAGAUCCUCUGCUUCCAAGGCCAGUGGAGUUUCCCACUCGUCCUCAGAACUCGUGCUGGUGGGGUAGUGAGUGAAUCCUAGCGCUGGCUGUCCAGAUUGGGGCUGCCAGCCCCUAGAGGACAUGGCGAGCCAGGCCACCCAGAAAGAAGAGGAGCUCGAUGACAGGGCAUGUGACCCCAAGGGGACGACGCCUCAUCAUCCCCAACAACUUGGCAUCCUGCUGCUGCCGCCGCCAUCACAGGUAGAGGGUGGACACUGCCACAGGGAUCUGACGACCAGCUCCACCUGGGCAACAAGGUGCACCGAUUGGGGGCUCUGGGGCUGCAUGCAAUGCUCUGUCACUAUGGGGAGUGCUCGGUGUCCAGGGAGCUCGGUGUGCUUUCGUUUACUGUGUUUGAGAAGCACAUUAGUCGCCAAUGAAGUUACUGUUUUUCAAAACUGUACAGAAAUGGGAAUAACUUCUGAUCAUUUCUUAAUACAAACAAUAUCUGUUUAGAUUUUAAAAUAUAACACUUUUUGUUUUGGCCUGGAUGAAGUCAUUGGCAAAACGAGUCUAACUGGAUUUAAUUUGUGAUUUAUAAAUUCUGAGUUACUGUUUUAAGAAUUGUUGAUUAUAGUGGGUUGUAUAAAGCCAGUGUUUUUGAAGAGCCAUUAAGCCCUUACAUGCCAUAUAGAUUAAUAAAUACAUUUUAAGCAAA
Non-coding RNA from Oryctolagus cuniculus (rabbit), 5811 nucleotides. The record is from RefSeq and is a predicted model, not a curated record. NCBI's taxonomy places the organism in Eukaryota, Metazoa, Chordata, Mammalia, Lagomorpha, Leporidae.